UCACAACUUCCAGUGGUAUCGCUUACCAUAAACACCCUGUGGAUCUCACGCUUGAUAAAUUAAUAAUACACUUAAUAGAGCAUGAGCUAUUGUUUAAGUUUUACACAUAAUUUAAAAGUUUUAUUUGAAAUUUCGUGGCUUAAUGUGUAACAUGUGAUAAUUUUUUGAAAUGCAGUAACAAAAACCUGCUCGGUUGGAACCCAAAUACAUUUAGCUUAUUGACUUAAGCAUACCCAUAUGAACAUACAUAUGUAUUAAACAGUAGGCCCAUAUAUUCGUGUGGUGCUGAUAGUGUAAAUGUGUAAAAUGUCUGUGGAAUUGUAAAUAUGUUUUUGUUUAAAGAAAUAUGUACAUAAAUGCACAAAAAUCGGUGCAUAUAUGUGCACAUGCCUAUCCAUAUCUACAUAUUUCUGUACAUGCAUAUGUGCACUAACUACAAUACAUACCACCAUUCGCAAACAGUUUGUCAAAAAAGUGUGUCUACAAGAUAAAACAAAAAACAGUUGCCAAAUCAGUCGCUAUGUUAAGUAAUUCGAAAUUACUGUUCGGUGUUUCUAAUAAGGAUUUUGAUUGUUUAAAAACCGCCAGUUCAUGCAGUGAAGCAACUUAAUUGGUCGAAUUCCGUGCACUGACUUCAAUAAGAAAAUUUUAUUGGCAAGUUGAACAAUUUGGCAGUCGAACUGAAUGUAUUAUGCCCAGCGGAAAAUUGUUAUAUUGUUUAUCUUUGAUAAUAUGUCGAUACAUAUACAUAACAUAAGCAUUGAAAUGGAGUAAAUAUAAGUCAAAAACUGGUUUCGAAAUAGAUUUGAAUGGAUGCAGCUAACCUAACUUAAAAAAAGACAAGUCUUUUAACUUUAAAAAUAUGGCCAACACCAUUUCGUUAAUGUCCAACGCGAUACGCAAUGUAGUGAGCAAAAAACGUAUACGAUACAAAGAAAAAGGAUACAAUUUGGAUUUAACAUACAUUAAUGAUAAUAUAAUUGCCAUGGGGUAUCCGGCACCGGAUAAAAUAGAGGGCCUAUACAGAAACCGUCUAGAGGAUGUCUAUAAAUUUUUGGAAGAAAAUCAUGGCCAACAUUACAAAAUAUAUAAUCUAUGUUUAGAGCGGAAUUAUGACAUCGGAAAAUUUCACGGGAGAGUAGCAAUUUUUCCGUUCGAAGACCAUAACCCUCCAACGAUUGAGUUAAUACAACGAUUUUGCAAGGAUGUUGAUUUAUGGCUUAAGGAAGAUGCGUCCAAUGUCGUUGCAGUGCACUGUAAAGCUGGAAAAGGAAGAACGGGUACCAUGAUUUGUGCAUAUUUACUGUUCAGUGGACUACAAAAAUCCGCUGAUGAUGCAUUAGCGUGGUAUGAUGAGAAGCGUACAAAGGACCGUAAAGGUGUGACAAUCCCAUCUCAGCGUCGAUAUGUUCAGUAUUUUUCCAAACUAGUUUGUUCAAGUGUUCCAUAUGCAAAAAUAAGCCUUAACGUAUGCGAAAUACGAUUCUCGGAGUCCAGUUUUCUUCAAAACCUAGGCACGGUACAAUGUUCAGUAUCUGUAUUACACGACUCGGCCACAGAAAAUGUAAAGCCAGAUAGACUGAAAACCUGGACGAUUGAUUUCCAGAAAUCAUUUGUAUUGACCAGUAAACCAUCAUUAGCAGUUGCGGGUGAUAUAAAAUUCGAACUAUUUUGUGAUAGUUCAAAUUUUAUAUCACCGGUAAGAUCCUCCAUUAAAAAGGUAUGCCAUUUUUGGCUAAAUACAUUUUUUGUGCGUAAUUAUUCAAUCUGCGAGUCCGAUGGAACAGUUAACAAAUAUAUACAUACAUUAAGCAAAUCAGAAAUCGAUGAUGUACAUAAGGACAGAGAACAUAAAUCCUUUUCAGAGGAUUUUAAGAUUUCCAUCUUAUUUGAGGGAGAGAAUUAUAGCAAUGAUGUUCAAGCUGAACCUUCCGAAAAAGAGAAAAAUGACAACGUUUUAAAUUUUGAAAGAUCGGAUUAUGACAGUUUGUCUCCAAACAAUUAUGACAGUUUAUCUCCAAACUGCUUUCUUAAAACAAAAGUCUUACCUGCAAUCGUCAAUGAUAAUACAGCGAAAAGUCAAACAAUAGAACCGUUGGAUCAUAAGGAUAUAGUUACUAAAAUUCAAUACGACACAUCAACCAAUUCUAAGAAUACUUCGACUGCGUCUAAACGCAAACAGCCUAACAGCAAACCUCUUUUAUCAAGCUUGAAUGAUUCCACAAAGGAGGAAAUAAAAAAAAAUCAUAUAAUUAAUCAACCGUCCAUUAAAAAAAAUGAUUUAAUCAAAUGGCAGAAUAGUGAAGUUCAUAUCACCUCUGACACUCGAAGUAUAAAUGAAAAUAAGAACAUCAAUUACAAUUCAUACAUCACAUGUAAACAAUCCUCUCCAAAAUUCAACUGUGGUACCGAAGAAGUCGAGGAAGAUUGGGAAUCCGAAUAAACACCCGAGACGAUUUAAAAGACUUCUGGCUGAACGAUCUCUUAUUUUUGAUGUAUAAAACGAAGCCACCAGAACUGGAUUUAUAUGUCCUCAAGACUUUUACGAGUAUACUAGCAGACAGGCUUGCAAAGAUCCAAUUCCUUUAACAGGGAAGACGAUCGAUUACAGCUGGGCUCUGCACAUCUGUUUAGACUUUAAUGUACAUAGGUGAAUCAACAUACCUGUAAUCAAUGCUUAUUACGGACUUAUAAUUCUUGGUGAUUUAGCAAAGUAAUUAAAAUUGCUAAGUAAUUGGCUAAUCUAUUCGAAUUUGUAAAUAUACUGUAUGAUAUUUAUUUAAGUAGUUUUAACAAUUAUUUUAAAUAAACUCAUGUACAUUUUGUAUUGUA
RNA transcript from Drosophila rhopaloa, 2832 nucleotides. It is a transcript of the gene named phosphatidylinositol 3,4,5-trisphosphate 3-phosphatase and dual-specificity protein phosphatase PTEN, with no coding region annotated. The record is from RefSeq and is a predicted model, not a curated record. Lineage: Eukaryota; Metazoa; Arthropoda; Insecta; Diptera; Drosophilidae. The transcript has 12 exons.